AUUGAACGCUGGCGGCAGGCCUAACACAUGCAAGUCGAACGAGUGGCGGACGGGUGAGUAAUGUCUGGGAAACUGCCUGCUGGAGGGGGAUAACUACUGGAAAAUGUAGCUAAUACCGCAUCCCAUCGGAUGUGCCCAGAUAGGAUUAGCUAGUAGGUGGGGUAACGGCUCACCUAGGCGACGAUCCAUAGCUGGUCUGAGAGGAUGACCAGCCACACUGGAACGGAGACACUGUCCAGACGCCUACGGGAGGCAGCAGUGGGGAAUAUGGCACAAUGGGCGCAAGCCUGAUGCAGCCAUGCCGCGUGUAUGAAGAAGGCCUUCGGGUUGUAAAGUACUUUAAGCGGGGAGGCGUUACCCGCAGAAGAAGCACCGGCUAACUCCGUGCCAGCAGCCGCGGUAAUUC
RNAcentral lists this ribosomal RNA (406 nucleotides) under uncultured bacterium. RNAcentral's name for it is "partial 16S ribosomal RNA". It matches the Rfam family "Bacterial small subunit ribosomal RNA", at positions 30 to 526 of the family's 1533-position model. The record is from RNAcentral.